CUACGGGCCGCUGCAGUGGGGAAUAUUGCACAAUGGAGGAAACUCUGAUGCAGCCAUGCCGCGUGUGUGAAGAAGGCCCGAGGGUUGUAAAGCACUUUCAAUUGGGAGGAAGGUUAUGUAGCUAAUACCUGCAUAAUUUGACGUUACCUUUAGAAGAAGCACCGGCUAACUCUGUGCCAGCAGCCGCGGUAAUACAGAGGGUGCAAGCGUUAUUCGGAAUUACUGGGCGUAAAGCGCGCGUAGGCGGAUUGUUAAGUCAGAUGUGAAAGCCCUGGGCUCAACCUGGGAACGGCAUUUGAUACUGGCAGCCUAGAGUUUAAGAGAGGGAAGGGGAAUUUCUAGUGUAGCAGUGAAAUGCGUAGAUAUUAGAAGGAACAUCAGUGGCGAAGGCGCCUUCCUGGCUUAAAACUGACGCUGAGGUGCGAAAGCGUGGGUAGCGAACGGGAUUAGAUACCCCGGUAGUC
This 464-nucleotide ribosomal RNA is filed under the name uncultured bacterium. RNAcentral describes it as "partial 16S ribosomal RNA". It matches the Rfam family "Bacterial small subunit ribosomal RNA", at positions 339 to 795 of the family's 1533-position model. The record is from RNAcentral.